CCUACGGGUGGCUGCAGUGGGGAAUAUUGGACAAUGGGGGCAACCCUGAUCCAGCCAUGCCGCGUGUGUGAAGAAGGCCCUCGGGUUGUAAAGCACUUUCAGUGAGGAAGAACGCCUGGUGGUUAAUACCCAUCAGGAAAGACAUCACUCACAGAAGAAGCACCGGCUAACUCCGUGCCAGCAGCCGCGGUAAUACGGAGGGUGCGAGCGUUAAUCGGAAUUACUGGGCGUAAAGCGCGCGUAGGUGGCUUGAUAAGCCGGUUGUGAAAGCCCCGGGCUCAACCUGGGAACGGCAUCCGGAACUGUCAAGCUAGAGUGCAGUAGAGGAAGGUAGAAUUCCCGGUGUAGCGGUGAAAUGCGUAGAGAUCGGGAGGAAUACCAGUGGCGAAGGCGGCCUUCUGGACUGACACUGACACUGAGGUGCGAAAGCGUGGGUAGCAAACAGGAUUAGAUACCCUAGUAGUC
This 465-nucleotide ribosomal RNA is filed under the name Vreelandella stevensii. RNAcentral describes it as "partial 16S ribosomal RNA". It matches the Rfam family "Bacterial small subunit ribosomal RNA", at positions 338 to 795 of the family's 1533-position model. The record is from RNAcentral. Lineage: Bacteria; Pseudomonadati; Pseudomonadota; Gammaproteobacteria; Oceanospirillales; Halomonadaceae.